GUUAUAUUUGUUGAUUAUUAUCUUGUCUCUCAAAGAACCAUUCUUUGAGUUCUAUCCCUCGUUCAUUUGCUCUUAGGCAAAUCACAUUGUAGGAUUACAAUGAACUACCCAACAAAACAACAUUUGUUAGUUGGUUUAUAGAAGCGAUAUCCAAAAGUUAAUUUAAGGAUAUCCCACAAGAUUGUUAUCAAACAAAUAUUGUUUAUUAGCACACAACCCCAAAUCUUAACAUGCUUAAGAUUUGUCUUUCUUUCCAACUACAUCUUAUGGAGUCAUGAAAAAUUUGGAAGAUCUUCUAAUUGACAAUCAUAUUGUCUUAGAAGCAUAUAUAUCCUAUAUAUGGGUAAUAGAUAACAUCUAACGAACUAAAUCUUAUUCAAGUUCGUUCUUCUCCUAAUGGAGAAAUCUAUUAUCUUAUGAUGCUUCU
This 427-nucleotide long non-coding RNA is filed under the name Malus domestica (apple). Its description in RNAcentral is "long non-coding RNA (MDOM_LNC000311)". The record is from RNAcentral. Lineage: Eukaryota; Viridiplantae; Streptophyta; Magnoliopsida; Rosales; Rosaceae.